GCUCGAUCACACAACAUCUCAGUGACUCAAACUGAACUUUCUACACUUUGUGUUCAGGUUGAAGGACACAGCUAACAGCUAGCCACAAGAUUUUGGGAUAAUAUUUAUGCACAAACACAAAUUGUGGCUUAAACAAGUCGUGUAUCAUUUAGAAGUUCCACUGUAUGAACCUAAAUGACCUUAAACCAUCCAUGUAAGUACUCACCAAAGAUGUUCAGUGAAAAUUUCUUCUUUCUUGUAAAGAUUUGUUUGGAAAAUGUUGGCGUCUGCUGCUCCAAGAAGUUUGUGCUCACACAGUGAAGUUCAUUGGAGAAGUGAAUCUUGUCAGUUUAAAGAUUCUGUGUUUACGUUUCAGGUUCUAGAACACUGCAGAGCAGCUAUGGUAACAUCACUUCUGAACAUUACAUUCCACUCCUGUCUGUUUCCAGCAUCUCCUCAUCCACUACCUUCAUCAUGGCCGGAUCAACCUCCUAGUAUUGAACCUGUGUGUGUGUACAGAGUCCACGCUUUUGCUCCAGAGGCGGGAUCAGAUGAUUGGUCUCCACCCCUGUAAUUGAACACCUGUGGGCCUUUACUGACCUGUUAUGCUGAUUAAGAUCCUGGCAAUAAAAGAUGGAAACGUCCAUCAAGCCAGUGCCAGAUUGCUGUAUCAGCAGCGGUAAUACUAAGCUCUGCUCCCUCUACAAACCUUCACCCACUCAGAUUGUUGUUGCUUCCACUGCAAAGCUACAGGCCCGGAGAGCAUCAGUCCCAGUAUCUCUUCAACCUGAGUGUGCUGCAGGAAAAGUGCCUUUAAUACCAUCCAACAACCACUGCUGCUCAGGAUGGUGUCACCACUUCUGCUGUCUCCUGGAUUGCUGACUAUCUAUCAGAGAGGCUUCAGUUUGUACGGCUUGGGGGGUGGGGAGGACUCUGUCUGAUGUGGUGGUUAGCAAUACUGGGGCACCACAGGGGACAGUUCUAUCUCCAUUCCUGUUUACCUUGUACACCUCAGAUUUCCAGUACAACAGUGAAACAUGACACCUGCACAAGUUCUCUGAUGACACUGCAAUGAUAGGGUGUAUUAAGUGUGGGCAGGAGUCGGAGUAAAGCGAGCUGGUGAGGAGUUUUGUGGAGUGGUCUAGCAGAAAUCACCUCCUUCUCAAUUUCAGUAAGACAAAAGAGAGGGUGGUUGACUUCCGGAGGAAUAAAACUGCGACUAAGCCCAUUAACAUCCUGGGGGAGGACGUGGAAAUGGUGGACAGCUACAGGUACCUGGGCGUUCACCUGAAUGACUGGACUGGAGGACCAACAGUGAUGC
Long non-coding RNA from Archocentrus centrarchus (flier cichlid), 1300 nucleotides. RefSeq lists it as uncharacterized. Lineage: Eukaryota; Metazoa; Chordata; Actinopteri; Cichliformes; Cichlidae. The record is from RefSeq and is a predicted model, not a curated record. The transcript is spliced from 3 exons.